GACGAACGCUGGCGGCGUGCUUAACACAUGCAAGUCGAACGGAAAGGCCCUGCUUUUGUGGGGUGCUCGAGUGGCGAACGGGUGAGUAACACGUGAGUAACCUGCCCUUGACUUUGGGAUAACUUCAGGAAACUGGGGCUAAUACCGGAUAGGAGCUCCUGCUGCAUGGUGGGGGUUGGAAAGUUUCGGCGGUUGGGGAUGGACUCGCGGCUUAUCAGCUUGUUGGUGGGGUAGUGGCUUACCAAGGCUUUGACGGGUAGCCGGCCUGAGAGGGUGACCGGCAACAGUGGGAGGGAGAUCAGGCCGAGAGUGAUCAGGGAGGAAGAAGGGGGGGAGAGUGCAGCAGGGGCGGAAGCCGGAGGCAGCAACGCCGCGUGAGGGAGGACGGCCGGAGGGAGGGAGAAAGCUUUCGCCGGUGACGAAGCGGGAGGGACGGGAACGGGUAAAGAAGAAACCGCUAACUACGUC
RNAcentral lists this ribosomal RNA (468 nucleotides) under uncultured bacterium. RNAcentral's name for it is "partial 16S ribosomal RNA". It matches the Rfam family "Bacterial small subunit ribosomal RNA", at positions 28 to 507 of the family's 1533-position model. The record is from RNAcentral.